AUUUUUUGUCCUAGAUGGUACGAGUUAUAGCUAACCUUUCUAUUCAUCCUGAAGUUGGGCCUGAAAUUGCAAAGAACAUGGAAAUAGUGGAACUUUUAGUACAAGUCUUAGGUAUGUUUUAUAUAAACAUUUUUGAUGUAAUGGAAACCUAUGUAAUGACUAGUAACUGAUCGUAGAACUUGUUUCCUCUUCGGCUGAAAUAACAAGAUACGGUUUCAGUUUUAAGAUAAGAUUUCUGUUUUGGUGAGCGGAUUUCCGAACAGGCUGUUGCCAAUUGAUAGGGGAUCCGAGGUACCUACGAUUAUAACGUCCUUAUCUGAGAAGACACGAAAGUCUAACCAUUUACUGAUGUCCAUGUAAAGGUAGCACUUUCUUCUCAAUUAUUUUAAGACCUUGAGUAGAGGUCCGAUCAAGGAUUGAACCCGGGUCUCCCAGCUUGAGAGGCAAGCGUGAUGACCAUUGAUUGGCUGCAUAAAGGCCCCAUGUGAAAACAAAUAUAGUGUGUACCAAUGAAUAAUUUUUCAUAAUCUCCACAAAUCUGUUUAGAAGUGAAAGACCUAACAAACAGCGAGGAAUUGGUCCUUAACACAGUUGCUACUAUCAAUAAUCUAUCCUAUUACACUGAAGAGAAUACGGCUUUAGCGACCAAACGUGGGACUAUAACACAAUGU
Molecule: non-coding RNA, 671 nt
Organism: Paramuricea clavata
Lineage: Eukaryota; Metazoa; Cnidaria; Anthozoa; Malacalcyonacea; Plexauridae
Source: the annotation of a GenBank genome assembly